CGUAGGGUGCGAGCGUUAAUCGGAAUUACUGGGCGUAAAGCGUGCGCAGGCGGUUUUGUAAGACAGGCGUGAAAUCCCCGGGCUCAACCUGGGAACUGCGCUUGUGACUGCAAGGCUAGAGUACGGCAGAGGGGGUGGAAUUCCACGUGUAGCAGUGAAAUGCGUAGAGAUGUGGAGGAACACCAAUGGCGAAGGCAGCCCCCUGGGUCGAUACUGACGCUCAUGCACGAAAGCGUGGGUAGCAAACAGGAUUAGAUACCCUGGUAGUCCACGCCCUAAACGAUGUCAACUAGGUGUUGGGUGGGUAAACCAUUUAGUACCGGAGCUAACGCGUGAAGUUGACCGCCUGGGGAGUACGGCCGCAAGGUU
This 369-nucleotide ribosomal RNA is filed under the name uncultured organism. RNAcentral describes it as "bacterial SSU rRNA". It matches the Rfam family "Bacterial small subunit ribosomal RNA", at positions 526 to 895 of the family's 1533-position model. The record is from RNAcentral.